GAUGACGAAACUAAUUUGAAUUAUUGGGGGUGCUCAUACAAGUUGAAUGCUUCCUCUCUUUUGGAACAGCUUGACGCAAAGUUUUUCUCAAUUUGAAAAACUUCAUUUUCUCCUGCUUCUGUGAUAAAGACCAGAAAUUCUUCUCCUCCCUCAAGAGUAGAACGAACCCAGAUAAGACCCAACCCCAAUACCUCCUCCCUCAACAACAGA
RNAcentral lists this long non-coding RNA (210 nucleotides) under Lotus japonicus. RNAcentral's name for it is "long non-coding RNA (LJAP_LNC001855)". Lineage: Eukaryota; Viridiplantae; Streptophyta; Magnoliopsida; Fabales; Fabaceae. The record is from RNAcentral.